This 842-nucleotide ribosomal RNA is filed under the name Actinoplanes missouriensis. RNAcentral's name for it is "bacterial SSU rRNA". It matches the Rfam family "Bacterial small subunit ribosomal RNA", at positions 8 to 866 of the family's 1533-position model. Lineage: Bacteria; Bacillati; Actinomycetota; Actinomycetes; Micromonosporales; Micromonosporaceae. The record is from RNAcentral.
AGAGUUUGAUCCUGGCUCAGGACGAACGCUGGCGGCGUGCUUAACACAUGCAAGUCGAGCGGAAAGGCCCUUCGGGGUACUCGAGCGGCGAACGGGUGAGUAACACGUGAGUAACCUGCCCCGAACUUUGGGAUAACCCUCGGAAACGGGGGCUAAUACCGAAUACGACUUCCUUUCGCAUGGCAUGGACGUGGAAAGUUUUUCGGUUCGGGAUGGACUCGCGGCCUAUCAGCUUGUUGGUGGGGUAAUGGCCUACCAAGGCGACGACGGGUAGCCGGCCUGAGAGGGCGACCGGCCACACUGGGACUGAGACACGGCCCAGACUCCUACGGGAGGCAGCAGUGGGGAAUAUUGCACAAUGGGCGGAAGCCUGAUGCAGCGACGCCGCGUGAGGGAUGACGGCCUUCGGGUUGUAAACCUCUUUCAGCAGGGACGAAGCGCAAGUGACGGUACCUGCAGAAGAAGCGCCGGCCAACUACGUGCCAGCAGCCGCGGUAAGACGUAGGGCGCGAGCGUUGUCCGGAUUUAUUGGGCGUAAAGAGCUCGUAGGCGGCUUGUCGCGUCGAAUGUGAAAUCUCGGGGCUCAACUCCGAGCUUGCAUUCGAUACGGGCAGGCUAGAGUUCGGUAGGGGAGACUGGAAUUCCUGGUGUAGCGGUGAAAUGCGCAGAUAUCAGGAGGAACACCGGUGGCGAAGGCGGGUCUCUGGGCCGAUACUGACGCUGAGGAGCGAAAGCGUGGGGAGCGAACAGGAUUAGAUACCCUGGUAGUCCACGCUGUAAACGUUGGGCGCUAGGUGUGGGGACCCUCUCCGGGUUUCUGCGCCGCAGCUAACGCAUAAGCG